CAGCACCUCAAGUGGUCAGGAUGAUUAUUGAGCCUAAAGCGUCCGUAGCCGGACUAGUAAACCCUUGGGUAAAUUGGGCAGCUUAACUGUCCAAAUUCCGAGGGGACUGCUAGUCUUGGGACCGGGAGAGGUCAGAGGUACUCAAGGGGUAGGGGCUAAAUCCUGUAAUCCGUUGGGGACCACCAGUGGCGAAGGCGUCUGACUAGAACGGAUCCGACGGUAAGGGACGAAACCCUGGGGCGCGAACCGGAUUAGAGACCCGAGUAGUCC
This 270-nucleotide ribosomal RNA is filed under the name uncultured archaeon. RNAcentral's name for it is "partial 16S ribosomal RNA". It matches the Rfam family "Archaeal small subunit ribosomal RNA", at positions 477 to 747 of the family's 1478-position model. The record is from RNAcentral.